This 209-nucleotide unclassified non-coding RNA is filed under the name uncultured Ascomycota. RNAcentral describes it as "sequence contains ITS1". Lineage: Eukaryota; Fungi; Ascomycota. The record is from RNAcentral.
CAGUGCCUGUAGGGUGCUGGGUAACCCCCAGUACCUUGCGACCUGGCCACCCGUGUCUACCUUACCUUUUGUUGCUUUGGCGGGCCCGUCCCCCGGACCGUCGGGGGUGUAUACCCACGAGCGUGGGUACGCAUCCCUGGCCCGCGCCCGCCAAAGGACCCUUAAAACUCUUGUGAAUUUAGGGUUGUCUGAGUUGAUGUGAAUGUAAA